Molecule: ribosomal RNA, 428 nt
Filed under: uncultured bacterium
Lineage: Bacteria
Description: bacterial SSU rRNA
Rfam family: Bacterial small subunit ribosomal RNA
Source: RNAcentral
GUAGGGAAUAUUGCACAAUGGGGGAAACCCUGAUGCAGCGACGCCGCGUGAGUGAUGAAGGCCUUCGGGUCGUAAAGCUCUGUCGUAUGGGACUAACACAAUGAAGGUACCAUGCAAGAAAGGAUCGGCUAACUUCGUGCCAGCAGCCGCGGUAAGACGAGGGAUCCUAGCGUUGUUCGGAAUCAUUGGGCGUAAAGCGGGUGUAGGCGGAUUUAUAAGUCAGGUGUGAAAUCCCAGGGCUCAACCCUGGAAGUGCACUUGAUACUGUAAAUCUUGAGUGUGGUAGAGGUUACUGGAAUUGUUGGUGUAGUGGUGAAAUACGUAGAUAUCAACAGGAAUACCGGAGGCGAAGGCGAGUAACUGGGCCAACACUGACGCUGAGACCCGAAAGCGUGGGGAUCAAACAGGAUUAGAUACCCCGGUAGUCC